This is a non-coding RNA of Phrynosoma platyrhinos (Desert horned lizard), 74 nucleotides long. The record is from the annotation of a GenBank genome assembly. Lineage: Eukaryota; Metazoa; Chordata; Lepidosauria; Squamata; Phrynosomatidae.
AUCAGCAUGGUGUAGUGGUUUGAGCAUUGGACUACAACUCUGGAUGGAGAUCAGGGUUCAACUCCCUGCUGAAG